CGCGGGGUGGAGCAGUCUGGUAGCUCGUCGGGCUCAUAACCCGGAGGUCGUAGGUUCAAAUCCUGCCCCCGCAA
This 74-nucleotide transfer RNA is filed under the name Alkalibacillus haloalkaliphilus. It matches the Rfam family "tRNA". Rfam says of the family: Transfer RNA (tRNA) molecules are approximately 80 nucleotides in length. Their secondary structure includes four short double-helical elements and three loops (D, anti-codon, and T loops). Further hydrogen bonds mediate the characteristic L-shaped molecular structure. tRNAs have two regions of fundamental functional importance: the anti-codon, which is responsible for specific mRNA codon recognition, and the 3' end, to which the tRNAs corresponding amino acid is attached (by aminoacyl-tRNA synthetases). tRNAs cope with the degeneracy of the genetic code in two manners: having more than one tRNA (with a specific anti-codon) for a particular amino acid; and 'wobble' base-pairing, i.e. permitting non-standard base-pairing at the 3rd anti-codon position. Lineage: Bacteria; Bacillati; Bacillota; Bacilli; Caryophanales; Bacillaceae. RNAcentral also lists the same sequence under 2 other names. The record is from Rfam by way of RNAcentral.